UUAUCAUGCGCCUUGCCUCAUUGGGGCGCUCCUCAGUGCGCCUCAGCUGUCCAGAGGCGCCUGGGGCUGCGCCUAGUGCGCCUGAGGCGCGCCUUUGAUAACAGUGCUUCUUGCUAAACAUAAGACUAUGUCUGUCUUAAGGUAGGUAAAGGAUCCUUUCCAAGCACUUGGACCCUAUUUUGAUCAUAUUUCAUAUUCAACCCAGC
Molecule: unclassified non-coding RNA, 206 nt
Filed under: Hevea brasiliensis (rubber tree)
Lineage: Eukaryota; Viridiplantae; Streptophyta; Magnoliopsida; Malpighiales; Euphorbiaceae
Source: RNAcentral